UACGAAGGGGGCUAGCGUUGUUCGGAAUCACUGGGCGUAAAGCGCACGUAGGCGGGUCUCUAAGUCAGGGGUGAAAUCCUGGAGCUCAACUCCAGAACUGCCUUUGAUACUGGGGAUCUCGAGUCCGGGAGAGGUGAGUGGAACUCCGAGUGUAGAGGUGAAAUUCGUAGAUAUUCGGAAGAACACCAGUGGCGAAGGCGGCUCACUGGCCCGGUACUGACGCUGAGGUGCGAAAGCGUGGGGAGCAAACAGG
This 253-nucleotide ribosomal RNA is filed under the name uncultured bacterium. Its description in RNAcentral is "partial 16S ribosomal RNA". It matches the Rfam family "Bacterial small subunit ribosomal RNA", at positions 524 to 776 of the family's 1533-position model. The record is from RNAcentral.